This is a non-coding RNA of Chelonoidis abingdonii (Abingdon island giant tortoise), 140 nucleotides long. Lineage: Eukaryota; Metazoa; Chordata; Testudines; Testudinidae. The record is from RefSeq and is a predicted model, not a curated record.
AAUAAGUAAGUGUUGUGGGGUUCGGGACAUAGCCCCUUCCCCGCAUCCGGUGCCAGUGCUCAUGCUCGGCUCACCGGGCUUCAAACUGUGCUCGGCCUGUCACAGGCCAAUGCCGACAGGAGACUCGCACAACUCCUGUU